RNAcentral lists this ribosomal RNA (450 nucleotides) under uncultured bacterium. Its description in RNAcentral is "partial 16S ribosomal RNA". It matches the Rfam family "Bacterial small subunit ribosomal RNA", at positions 354 to 796 of the family's 1533-position model. The record is from RNAcentral.
GUGGGGAAUAUUCCGCAAUGGACGAAAGUCUGACGGAGCAACGCCGCGUGUGUGAUGAAGGUUUUCGGACUGUAAAGCUCUGUUGUUUAGGACGAAAGUGCCUGUUGCGAAUAGUUACAGGUAUUGACGGUACUGAACGAGGAAGCCACGGCUAACUACGUGCCAGCAGCCGCGGUAAUACGUAGGUGGCAAGCGUUGUCCGGAAUUAUUGGGCGUAAAGAGCAUGUAGGCGGGAAUCUAAGUCUGUUGUGAAAAUGCGGGGCUCAACCCCGUAUUGCGAUGGAAACUGGGUUUCUUGAGUGCAGGAGAGGAAAGGGGAAUUCCCAGUGUAGCGGUGAAAUGCGUAGAUAUUGGGAGGAACACCAGUGGCGAAGGCGCCUUUCUGGACUGUGUCUGACGCUGAGAUGCGAAAGCCAGGGUAGCGAACGGGAUUAGAUACCCUAGUAGUCC